UCGUCACACUAUCAUUAACUGAAUCCAUAGGUUAAUGAGGCGAACCGGGGGAACUGAAACAUCUAAGUACCCCGAGGAAAAGAAAUCAACCGAGAUUCCCCCAGUAGCGGCGAGCGAACGGGGAGGAGCCCAGAGCCUGAAUCAGCAUGUGUGUUAGUGGAAGCGUCUGGAAAGGCGCGCGAUACAGGGUGACAGCCCCGUACACAAAAGCGCAUGUGCUGUGAGCUCGAUGAGUAGGGCGGGACACGUGGUAUCCUGUCUGAAUAUGGGGGGACCAUCCUCCAAGGCUAAAUACUCCUGACUGACCGAUAGUGAACCAGUACCGUGAGGGAAAGGCGAAAAGAACCCCGGCGAGGGGAGUGAAAAAGAACCUGAAACCGUGUACGUACAAGCAGUGGGAGCACCCUUUGGGGUGUGACUGCGUACCUUUUGUAUAAUGGGUCAGCGACUUAUAUUCUGUAGCAAGGUUAACCGAAUAGGGGAGCCG
RNAcentral lists this ribosomal RNA (487 nucleotides) under Salmonella enterica subsp. enterica serovar Paratyphi B. RNAcentral's name for it is "partial 23S ribosomal RNA". It matches the Rfam family "Bacterial large subunit ribosomal RNA", at positions 140 to 668 of the family's 2925-position model. RNAcentral also lists the same sequence under 1 other name. Lineage: Bacteria; Pseudomonadati; Pseudomonadota; Gammaproteobacteria; Enterobacterales; Enterobacteriaceae. The record is from RNAcentral.